This is a non-coding RNA of Delphinapterus leucas (beluga whale), 899 nucleotides long. The record is from RefSeq and is a predicted model, not a curated record. NCBI's taxonomy places the organism in Eukaryota, Metazoa, Chordata, Mammalia, Artiodactyla, Monodontidae.
UGCCGCGCGACCUGUGAGAUCGUAGUUCCCCCACCAGGGAUGGUACUCGUGCCCGCUGCAGUUGAAGCACAGAGUCUUGACCACCGGACCACCAGGGAAGUCCCAAGAUAACCUCUGGUGAAGAGAGAGCUUUCAUAAAGUCUUCCUGUCUGAACUCUUGAAUGGUCAUAACACUGAAGCUCCGAGCCUGACCUUUAGACCUCAUGCUGACCCAUUGCGAAUCAGACCUUCUUCAGGACUUGAAUUGAAAGCUGUUGAGCCAAUGCUUGGAGGAGUCAUUAUAGAGCUUAACUCACAGAGCAAAAGAAGGUGGAGGAUACAAUUUAAGAAAAUUUUCCUGCUGGUCAAGAAAAGGACCUUCCUGACAUGAGAAGAUCAAAAGAGAAGGAUAGAAGGGAUAGAAGCAGCCCUGAGUCCACUCUGGGAAGGAGCAUGGGUGAGCCUCCUGGAGGGUGAGACAGCGUAUGGAGCAGAGGCAGCCUCCAGCUGAGGCCCCUGAGACCAAACUGCCUGUCUACACAUGGCGUGAGAGUGAGGCCAUCUUGGACCAUCCAGCCUCAGCAGAGCCAUCAGCUGACCACAGAGAUUAGCCCUGCUGGCCCAGGCUAGAGGAAGUGCCCAGCUAACCCAGAGGAUGGUGAGAAAUAACAAAUGACAACACAUAUAUUUAAGUACUGAGAAGCUCCCUUCACUGUCUCAUAGACCAGAGCAAGAGUCACCUGUGUUUCAAGUUGUGUUCAUUUGCCUGUUAAGACAAGGGCUGAAGAUACACUGACCGUGUGUCCACUUUAUCUUCCUGGUCUUGACUAUGCCAAUUUAAUCAAAAUCCUCGAUCUACAAUAUUGCCUUUUACUUAAGGAAAUGAAUUUUAGUGUGGUUUAUAUACAGCAUCAAAUAAA